CCUGGCUCAGGAUGAACGCUAGCUACAGGCUUAACACAUGCAAGUCGAGGGGCAGCAUGGUCUUAGCUUGCUAAGGCCGAUGGCGACCGGCGCACGGGUGAGUAACACGUAUCCAACCUGCCGUCUACUCUUGGACAGCCUUCUGAAAGGAAGAUUAAUACAAGAUGGCAUCAUGAGUCCGCAUGUUCACAUGAUUAAAGGUAUUCCGGUAGACGAUGGGGAUGCGUUCCAUUAGAUAGUAGGCGGGGUAACGGCCCACCUAGUCUUCGAUGGAUAGGGGUUCUGAGAGGAAGGUCCCCCACAUUGGAACUGAGACACGGUCCAAACUCCUACGGGAGGCAGCAGUGAGGAAUAUUGGUCAAUGGGCGAGAGCCUGAACCAGCCAAGUAGCGUGAAGGAUGACUGCCCUAUGGGUUGUAAACUUCUUUUAUAAAGGAAUAAAGUCGGGUAUGGAUACCCGUUUGCAUGUACUUUAUGAAUAAGGAUCGGCUAACUCCGUGCCAGCAGCCGCGGUAAUACGGAGGAUCCGAGCGUUAUCCGGAUUUAUUGGGUUUAAAGGGAGCGUAGAUGGAUGUUUAAGUCAGUUGUGAAAGUUUGCGGCUCAACCGUAAAAUUGCAGUUGAUACUGGAUAUCUUGAGUGCAGUUGAGGCAGGCGGAAUUCGUGGUGUAGCGGUGAAAUGCUUAGAUAUCACGAAGAACUCCGAUUGCGAAGGCAGCCUGCUAAGCUGCAACUGACAUUGAGGCUCGAAAGUGUGGGUAUCAAACAGGAUUAGAUACCCUGGUAGUCCACACGGUAAACGAUGAAUACUCGCUGUUUGCGAUAUACGGCAAGCGGCCAAGCGAAAGCGUUAAGUAUUCCACCUGGGGAGUACGCCGGCAACGGUGAAACUCAAAGGAAUUGACGGGGGCCCGCACAAGCGGAGGAACAUGUGGUUUAAUUCGAUGAUACGCGAGGAACCUUACCCGGGCUUAAAUUGCAGAUGAAUUACGGUGAAAGCCGUAAGCCGCAAGGCAUCUGUGAAGGUGCUGCAUGGUUGUCGUCAGCUCGUGCCGUGAGGUGUCGGCUUAAGUGCCAUAACGAGCGCAACCCUUGUUGUCAGUUACUAACAGGUUCCGCUGAGGACUCUGACAAGACUGCCAUCGUAAGAUGUGAGGAAGGUGGGGAUGACGUCAAAUCAGCACGGCCCUUACGUCCGGGGCUACACACGUGUUACAAUGGGGGGUACAGAGGGCCGCUACCACGCGAGUGGAUGCCAAUCCCCAAAACCUCUCUCAGUUCGGACUGGAGUCUGCAACCCGACUCCACGAAGCUGGAUUCGCUAGUAAUCGCGCAUCAGCCACGGCGCGGUGAAUACGUUCCCGGGCCUUGUACACACAGGCCG
RNAcentral lists this ribosomal RNA (1383 nucleotides) under uncultured bacterium. RNAcentral describes it as "bacterial SSU rRNA". It matches the Rfam family "Bacterial small subunit ribosomal RNA", at positions 18 to 1396 of the family's 1533-position model. The record is from RNAcentral.